Molecule: ribosomal RNA, 590 nt
Filed under: uncultured Burkholderia sp.
Lineage: Bacteria; Pseudomonadati; Pseudomonadota; Betaproteobacteria; Burkholderiales; Burkholderiaceae
Description: bacterial SSU rRNA
Rfam family: Bacterial small subunit ribosomal RNA
Source: RNAcentral
UCGGGUUGUAAAGCACUUUUGUCCGGAAGAAAUCCUUGAUCCUAAUAUGGUCGGGGGAUGACGGUACCGGAAGAAUAAGCACCGGCAACUACGUGCCAGCAGCCGCGGUAAUACGUAGGGUGCGAGCGUUAAUCGGAAUUACUGGGCGUAAAGCGUGCGCAGGCGGUUCGCUAAGACCGAUGUGAAAUCCCCGGGCUUAACCUGGGAACUGCAUUGGUGACUGGCGAGCUAGAGUGUGGCAGAGGGGGGUAGAAUUCCACGUGUAGCAGUGAAAUGCGUAGAGAUGUGGAGGAAUACCGAUGGCGAAGGCAGCCCCCUGGGCUAACACUGACGCUCAUGCACGAAAGCGUGGGGAGCAAACAGGAUUAGAUACCCUGGUAGUCCACGCCCUAAACGAUGUCAACUAGUUGUUGGGGAUUCAUUUCCUUAGUAACGUAGCUAACGCGUGAAGUUGACCGCCUGGGGAGUACGGUCGCAAGAUUAAAACUCAAAGGAAUUGACGGGGACCCGCACAAGCGGUGGAUGAUGUGGAUUAAUUCGAUGCAACGCGAAAAACCUUACCUACCCUUGACAUGGACGGAAUCUUGCUG